UGGGGAAUAUUGCACAAUGGGCGGAAGCCUGAUGCAGCGACGCCGCGUGAGGGAUGACGGCCUUCGGGUUGUAAACCUCUUUCAGCACCGACGAAGCGAGAGUGACGGUACCUGCAGAAGAAGCGCCGGCCAACUACGUGCCAGCAGCCGCGGUAAGACGUAGGGCGCGAGCGUUGUCCGGAUUUAUUGGGCGUAAAGAGCUCGUAGGCGGCUUGUCGCGUCGUCUGUGAAAACCCACAGCUCAACUGUGGGCUUGCAGUCGAUACGGGCAGGCUAGAGUUCGGUAGGGGAGACUGGAAUUCCUGGUGUAGCGGUGAAAUGCGCAGAUAUCAGGAGGAACACCGGUGGCGAAGGCGGGUCUCUGGGCCGAUACUGACGCUGAGGAGCGAAAGCGUGGGGAGCGAACAGGAUUAGAUACCCCCGUAGUCC
Molecule: ribosomal RNA, 429 nt
Filed under: uncultured bacterium
Lineage: Bacteria
Description: bacterial SSU rRNA
Rfam family: Bacterial small subunit ribosomal RNA
Source: RNAcentral